Long non-coding RNA from Canis lupus familiaris (dog), 393 nucleotides. RefSeq lists it as uncharacterized. The transcript is spliced from 3 exons. Lineage: Eukaryota; Metazoa; Chordata; Mammalia; Carnivora; Canidae. The record is from RefSeq and is a predicted model, not a curated record.
GGGGAAAUUGCUCAGGGUCACAACUAGUACAGGGGGACGGGAGUCCAGCGUGGCUCUAAAGCCUUAUGUAGUCACCACCCAGACUACUUCAUGGAGUUCAUCUUAGGGGACCAAGUUAGUCUAAGACUGCCUUGUCUAUGCUAAUGGAAGCAGACACUCUGGAACACUUCAGAAGGCAGGCCUCCCUCUUAUGUAUACCACCCGGGACCACCGUGGUUAAAGCGGGAAGAGAACGAGGGCCCCCCAGAGUGUGAGCAGCCAGAGGAGGCAGAUGAAUGAGAAUGCCAUUGGCUUAUAAAGAGGGUCCUCACCCAACCUGAUCACGCCACCACCCUCAUCUUGGGCUUUCUGGCUCCAGAACUAUGAGAACUACAUUCCUGUCAUCUAAGCCAC